This 268-nucleotide small nuclear RNA is filed under the name Castor canadensis (American beaver). Its description in RNAcentral is "7SK RNA (ENSCCNG00000010313.1)". It matches the Rfam family "7SK RNA", at positions 46 to 331 of the family's 331-position model. From Rfam's summary of the family: 7SK was discovered as an abundant small nuclear RNA in the mid-70s but a possible function has only recently been suggested. The record is from RNAcentral. Lineage: Eukaryota; Metazoa; Chordata; Mammalia; Rodentia; Castoridae.
GCAUGGGUUGAUUUGGCUGAUCUGGCAGGCAAGACAGGUAUCCCCUUCCUCCCUCACCACUUCAUGUGUGUCCCUCCCAAAGCUGUGUGCUUGGUAAAAGAGGACGGCCAUUCCAAUACAGGAGGACCAUUCUUCAGUCAAGGGCACAUGAACAGCUGUGCUCCCCUGCGAGAACCUCCAAAUAAAAUCUCAAGAAAGAAAAGGAAAUGAACUAGCUGAUCCUAAAAUGUAUAAGGAAAUACCAAAGACUUACAACAGAUGCCAGUUU